UACAGAGGUCUCAAGCGUUGUUCGGAUUCAUUGGGCGUAAAGGGUGCGUAGGCGGCGCGGUAAGUCGGAUGUGAAAUCUCGGAGCUUAACUUCGAAACUGCAUUCGAUACUGCCGUGCUUGAGGACUGGAGAGGAGACUGGAAUUUACGGUGUAGCGGUGAAAUGCGUAGAUAUCGAGAGGAACACCAGUGGCGAAGGCGAGUCUCUGGACGACACCUGACACUGAGGCACGAAAGCUAGGGGAGCAAACAGG
RNAcentral lists this ribosomal RNA (253 nucleotides) under uncultured bacterium. Its description in RNAcentral is "partial 16S ribosomal RNA". It matches the Rfam family "Bacterial small subunit ribosomal RNA", at positions 524 to 776 of the family's 1533-position model. The record is from RNAcentral.